UUCUUGCAGCCUUGUAAAGUAACUCCUUGCACAUGCUGUUGCUGGUGGGUUCCUCAAGGCUGCAGAAAUUAAACCAAGGAAUGAAAAGGCGUGACUACUGGAGACUCGGGAGCUCCACGUGCGAUGUUCCUCGAACAGACCCCUGCUUCCCACGGUGGUGAUGGGCUUUUAACUGUAGCCAUGACCUUUCUUGAGGCAGGCAGAACAAAGGUCAACAGCUGGAUAUUGUCUGGAUCAGGGGAAGCGAUUCCUGUCAGACACUGUUGGCUGUCACAAAA
Molecule: non-coding RNA, 278 nt
Organism: Boleophthalmus pectinirostris (great blue-spotted mudskipper)
Lineage: Eukaryota; Metazoa; Chordata; Actinopteri; Gobiiformes; Gobiidae
Source: RefSeq, a predicted model, not a curated record